UCCAGACUCCUACGGGAGGCAGCAGUGAGGAAUAUUGGUCAAUGGGCGCGAGCCUGAACCAGCCAAGUCGCGUGAGGGAAGACGGUCCUAUGGAUUGUAAACCUCUUUUGUCGGGGAGCAAAAGACGCCACGCGUGGCGUUCCGAGAGUACCCGAAGAAAAAGCAUCGGCUAACUCCGUGCCAGCAGCCGCGGUAAUACGGAGGAUGCGAGCGUUAUCCGGAUUUAUUGGGUUUAAAGGGUGCGCAGGCGGGGAUUUAGGUCGGGGUAAAAGUUUGGGGGCUCACCCCCGGCGAGCCGUUGAAACUGGCUUGCUAGAGUGGGCGAGAAGUAUGCGGAAUGCGUGGUGUAGCGGUGAAAUGCAUAGAUAUCACGCAGAACUCCGAUUGCGAAGGCAGCAUACCGGCGCCCAACUGACGCUCAGGCACGAAAGCGUGGGUAUCGAACAGGAUUAGAUACCCGCGUAAA
Molecule: ribosomal RNA, 466 nt
Filed under: uncultured bacterium
Lineage: Bacteria
Description: bacterial SSU rRNA
Rfam family: Bacterial small subunit ribosomal RNA
Source: RNAcentral